Molecule: ribosomal RNA, 498 nt
Filed under: uncultured bacterium
Lineage: Bacteria
Description: partial 16S ribosomal RNA
Rfam family: Bacterial small subunit ribosomal RNA
Source: RNAcentral
GACGAACGCUGGCGGCGUGCCUAAUACAUGCAAGUCGAACGAGAGCGACCGGUGCUUGCACUGGUAAAUCUAGCGGCGAACGGGUGAGUAACAAGUGGGUAACCUGCCCAUCAGAGGGGGAUAACAUUCGGAAACGGAUGAUAAAAACACAUAGGUCUUCGAACCGCGUGGUUUGAAGAGGAAAAGAGGCGCAAGCUUCUGCUGAUGGAUGGACCCGCGGUGCAUUAGCUAGUUGGUGAGGUGACGGCUCACCAAGGCCGUGAUGCAUAGCCGACCUGAGAGGGUGAUCGGCCACAUUGGAACUGAGACACGGCCCAAACUCCUACGGGAGGCAGCAGUAGGGAAUCUUCCGCAAUGGACGCAAGUCUGACGGAGCAACGCCGCGUGAGUGAAGAAGGUUUUCGGAUCGUAAAACUCUGUUGUUAGGGAAGAAUAAGUGCUAGAGUAACUGUUAGCGCCUUGACGGUAUCUAACCAGAAAGCCACGGCUAACUACGUG